Molecule: non-coding RNA, 30 nt
Filed under: Rattus norvegicus (Norway rat)
Lineage: Eukaryota; Metazoa; Chordata; Mammalia; Rodentia; Muridae
Source: RNAcentral
UAGUGGAAGUUUUCAUGUACACUUGCUUGC